RNAcentral lists this ribosomal RNA (383 nucleotides) under uncultured eukaryote. RNAcentral's name for it is "partial 18S ribosomal RNA". It matches the Rfam family "Eukaryotic small subunit ribosomal RNA", at positions 592 to 976 of the family's 1831-position model. The record is from RNAcentral.
CAAUAGCGUAUAUUAAAGUUGUUGCAGUUAAAAAGCUCGUAGUUGGAUUUCUGGUAGGAGUGACCGUUCCGAACUUGAUUGUUCGUGUAUUGUGUUUUCUCCAGCCAUCCCUGUGGAGAACUUUUCUUGCAUUAAUUUGUAGGGAUUGGGACCCGCAUCGUUUACUGUGAAAAAAUUAGAGUGUUUAAAGCAGGCAAUCGCUUGAAUACAUUAGCAUGGAAUAAUAAGAUAGGACUUUGGUACUAUUUUGUUGGUUUGCAUACCAAAUUAAUGAUCAACAGGAACAGUUUGAGGAUAUUCGUAUGAACAUGUCAGAGGUGAAAUUCUUGGAUUUUGAUCAGACGAACUACUGCGAAAGCGUUUAUCAAGGAUGUUUUCAUUAA